AUGGUGGGCAGGGCCUUCGCCUGCUCCUUCGCGUGCCUAGAGGAGCCCUCCGAUGGCGUCACCAGGGUCAGGCACAGCAAUGCAGAGGAACCGGCCGGGGAGCGCCCUGCUGCCGGGGUGGCAUCCGAGAGCAGGAACGGGGGGCAUUCCGCCGAUGUGGCCGGCGGCGAGGGGCCGAGGUUCAGGGAGAGGAGGAGCUGCAGUGACGCCGGCCUGGAGAUAACCGUGUCAGCCUCAGGUGUCCGGCGCCGGAGGUCCAACAGGUGGAGCAGGGUGUGGGAUCGCAGCAUCACGAGUCCACUCAAGGAGUUCGUGAGGAAGGGGGAGCACGCUCUUGACCGGUCCUUCUCGGAGUCGAGGAGGGAAACCAGGAGGUGCAAAAAUGGGGAGACAACAGACAUCGAAAAUGGCGAAAUUCACCAUGGCCGCAACGGGUCGGCACUUCCUGGCAGAGCAAGCCAGAGCACAAGCAGAAGAUCACAAGCUCACACGGCUAAUGGGGAGGAGCAGAAUUUCCGCACGGAUUGGCUCAGGAACAAGGAAUGCAGGAUCAGCAGGAGCAGGAGCGUGCAUUACACUUCUCCUGGGAACUUCGAUAAUGGGAUGCUGCGGUUUUACCUGACGCCGAUGAGGAGCAACAGAGCCGCAAACAGGGGGAGGAGGAGAAGCUCGCGCUUGUUUGGAAGAGGACUUUUUGGUUUCGUUUGA
RNAcentral lists this ribosomal RNA (708 nucleotides) under Triticum aestivum (bread wheat). Its description in RNAcentral is "partial small subunit ribosomal RNA". The record is from RNAcentral. Lineage: Eukaryota; Viridiplantae; Streptophyta; Magnoliopsida; Poales; Poaceae.